AGACUAUGAUGUUGCUCUCAAAGUGUUGGGGGCAUCUGGACGGCUGCCUUGCAUUAUUACUCAGCUGGAACAAGACCUGGAGAAAGAGGAACGGGAUUUGCGGAGGAAAGAAGCAGCACUGAGGGAUGCCAAAGCUGUACUAGAUGUU
Sinocyclocheilus rhinocerous is the source of this 148-nucleotide long non-coding RNA. RefSeq lists it as uncharacterized. Lineage: Eukaryota; Metazoa; Chordata; Actinopteri; Cypriniformes; Cyprinidae. The transcript has 2 exons. The record is from RefSeq and is a predicted model, not a curated record.